GCCUUGUGGCCCAUCUGUCAGCACCAGGGUGUGGCUACUGGCAUGUGACACAGGAAGUCUUCAGAGAGCCAAGGGCUGGGGCACCUGCCAGCUCCUGCUCCUUGAGGCAAAAAUAAGUCUGAAACCAACUAAACUAGUCCAGGAAAGGAAAGGACCUGCCUAAGGUCACACAGCAAGAGUGACAUUCUAGGACUAGAAGGCAGGCCUUCUCCCAUUAGAUGAGACCAGGUGCCACCUGGGUCCAGAUCUGCAGCUCCCAAAGCUGAGAACUAAAGUAGACUUGGAAGUUGAUUCAAGAGGGCUGUGUUGCUGGCUUGGAGGAAAGAAAACAAGUCAAACCCCAUGGAAGGCAGAGUGGACUGUGUGAGGAAUGAAGGAUUCAGCAUGGCCCUGGGAGUUAACAGACAAAGUUAG
RNAcentral lists this long non-coding RNA (414 nucleotides) under Cavia porcellus (domestic guinea pig). RNAcentral describes it as "lncRNA (ENSCPOG00000034199.1)". The record is from RNAcentral. Lineage: Eukaryota; Metazoa; Chordata; Mammalia; Rodentia; Caviidae.